UAGCUCAGUCAGUUAGAGCGUGGUGCUGAUAACACCAAGGUCACGGGUUCGAGCCCUGU
RNAcentral lists this transfer RNA (59 nucleotides) under Apaloderma vittatum (bar-tailed trogon). It matches the Rfam family "tRNA", at positions 8 to 63 of the family's 71-position model. Rfam says of the family: Transfer RNA (tRNA) molecules are approximately 80 nucleotides in length. Their secondary structure includes four short double-helical elements and three loops (D, anti-codon, and T loops). The record is from Rfam by way of RNAcentral. Lineage: Eukaryota; Metazoa; Chordata; Aves; Trogoniformes; Trogonidae.